GAUGAACUUUAACUAGAUACAUAGUUACUAGGUUUCAGUCUAAUCAGAAUUGUAUAUCUAGUUCCUUACAGCGGAAAGCAUGGAAAUAGGCUGAAAGUACUGGACGUAGAAAUGUAAAAUUUGGAAUGAUUAUAAAAUUCCCACGGGAACGAGAAACUAAAGGAAUUAUUAAGAGUGUACGUGGUCGCGAGAAAAUCUAGUAUUUCUCUAUACUUCUGUAUCAAUGUAUGCAUGCGACAAAUCAGGUUAUAUAAACUGCCAAACGGGCAAACGGGUGUGCGGUCUACCUAAUGUAGGGCGCGCCCCCUAGCUGCCCAAACCGGGCAUCGAACCUCGGACAUCUGGCUGCGCACGCGCCGCCCCGGCUCGCUCAUCGCCGGUGGUUAUAUCCAGCUGUAUAUUAUUAUAAAAAUAUAUUAUAAUUAUUUGUAUAAAUUUUGUUA
Plodia interpunctella (Indianmeal moth) is the source of this 443-nucleotide long non-coding RNA. RefSeq lists it as uncharacterized. Lineage: Eukaryota; Metazoa; Arthropoda; Insecta; Lepidoptera; Pyralidae. The record is from RefSeq and is a predicted model, not a curated record. The transcript is spliced from 4 exons.